Molecule: ribosomal RNA, 706 nt
Filed under: uncultured bacterium
Lineage: Bacteria
Description: bacterial SSU rRNA
Rfam family: Bacterial small subunit ribosomal RNA
Source: RNAcentral
AUUGAACGCUAGCGGGAUGCCUUACACAUGCAAGUCGAACGGCAGCGCGGACUUCGGUCUGGCGGCGAGUGGCGAACGGGUGAGUAAUAUAUCGGAACGUGCCCAGUAGCGGGGGAUAACUACUCGAAAGAGUAGCUAAUACCGCAUACGCCCUACGGGGGAAAGGGGGGGAUCGCAAGACCUCUCACUAUUGGAGCGGCCGAUAUCGGAUUAGCUAGUUGGUGGGGUAAAGGCCCACCAAGGCGACGAUCCGUAGCUGGUUUGAGAGGACGACCAGCCACACUGGGACUGAGACACGGCCCAGACUCCUACGGGAGGCAGCAGUGGGGAAUUUUGGACAAUGGGGGAAACCCUGAUCCAGCCAUUCCGCGUGUGCGAUGAAGGCCUUCGGGUUGUAAAGCACUUUUGGCAGGAAAGAAAUCGCACAAAUUAAUACUUUGUGUGGAUGACGGUACCUGCAGAAUAAGCACCGGCUAACUACGUGCCAGCAGCCGCGGUAAUACGUAGGGUGCAAGCGUUAAUCGGAAUUACUGGGCGUAAAGCGUGCGCAGGCGGUUCGGAAAGAGAGGUGUGAAAUCCCAGGGCUUAACCUUGGAACUGCACUUUUAACUCCCGAGCUAGAGUAUGUCAGAGGGGGGUGGAAUUCCGCGUGUAGCAGUGAAAUGCGUAGAUAUGCGGAGGAACACCGAUGGCGAAGGCAGCCCCC